GAUGAACGCUCGCGGCAGGCCUAAUACAUGCAAGUCGAACGGGAUCCAGAUCAAAGCUUGCUUUGGUCUGGUGAGAGUGGCGCACGGGUGCGUAACGCGUGAGCAACCUACCCUUGUCAGGGGGAUAGCCCGGCGAAAGUCGGAUUAAUACCGCAUGACAUCAUUGAGAGGCAUCUUUCGAUGAUCAAAGAUUUAUCGGACAAGGAUGGGCUCGCGUGACAUUAGCUAGUUGGUAAGGUAACGGCUUACCAAGGCUGCGAUGUCUAGGGGCUCUGAGAGGAGAAUCCCCCACACUGGGACUGAGACACGGACCAGACUCCUACGGGAGGCAGCAGUAAGGAAUAUGGGUCAAUGGACGGAAGUCUGAACCAGCCAUGCCGCGUGCAGGAGGACGGCCCUAUGGGUUGUAAACUGCUUUUAUACGGGAACAAACGUCGGUACGGGUACCGGUCUGAGUGUACCGUAAGAAUAAGAAUCGGCUAACUCCGUG
Molecule: ribosomal RNA, 490 nt
Filed under: uncultured bacterium
Lineage: Bacteria
Description: partial 16S ribosomal RNA
Rfam family: Bacterial small subunit ribosomal RNA
Source: RNAcentral